RNAcentral lists this ribosomal RNA (883 nucleotides) under uncultured bacterium. Its description in RNAcentral is "bacterial SSU rRNA". It matches the Rfam family "Bacterial small subunit ribosomal RNA", at positions 56 to 946 of the family's 1533-position model. The record is from RNAcentral.
UGCAGUCGAGGGGUAGAAGUCUUCGGACUUUGAGACCGGCGCACGGGUGCGUAACGCGUAUGCAAUCUACCUUUUACAGAGGGAUAGCCCAGAGAAAUUUGGAUUAAUACCUCAUAGUAUUAUGAAAUGGCAUCAUUUUAUAAUUAAAGUCACAACGGUAAAAGAUGAGCAUGCGUCCCAUUAGCUAGUUGGUAAGGUAACGGCUUACCAAGGCUACGAUGGGUAGGGGUCCUGAGAGGGAGAUCCCCCACACUGGUACUGAGACACGGACCAGACUCCUACGGGAGGCAGCAGUGAGGAAUAUUGGACAAUGGGCGCAAGCCUGAUCCAGCCAUGCCGCGUGCAGGAUGACGGUCCUAUGGAUUGUAAACUGCUUUUAUACGAGAAGAAACACUCCUUCGUGAAGGAGCUUGACGGUAUCGUAAGAAUAAGGAUCGGCUAACUCCGUGCCAGCAGCCGCGGUAAUACGGAGGAUCCAAGCGUUAUCCGGAAUCAUUGGGUUUAAAGGGUCCGUAGGCGGUUUAAUAAGUCAGUGGUGAAAGCCCAUCGCUCAACGGUGGAACGGCCAUUGAUACUGUUAAACUUGAAUUAUUAGGAAGUAACUAGAAUAUGUAGUGUAGCGGUGAAAUGCUUAGAGAUUACAUGGAAUACCAAUUGCGAAGGCAGGUUACUACUAAUGGAUUGACGCUGAUGGACGAAAGCGUGGGUAGCGAACAGGAUUAGAUACCCUGGUAGUCCACGCCGUANACGAUGGAUACUAGCUGUUGGGAGCAAUCUCAGUGGCUAAGCGAAAGUGAUAAGUAUCCCACCUGGGGAGUACGUUCGCAAGAAUGAAACUCAAAGGAAUUGACGGGGGCCCGCACAAGCGGUGGAGCAUGUGGUU